AACGAACGCUGGCGGCAUGCCUAACACAUGCCAGUCGAACGAGACCUUCGGGUCUAGUGGCGCACGGGUGCGUAACGCGUGGGAACCUGCCCUUAGGUUCGGAAUCACUCCCCGAAAGGGGUGCUAAUACCGGAUAAUGUCUUCGGACCAAAGAUUUAUCGCCUUUGGAUGGGCCCGCGUUGGAUUAGCUAGUUGGUAGGGUAAAAGCCUACCAAGGCGACGAUCCAUAGCUGGUCUGAGAGGAUGAUCAGACACACUGGGACUGAGACACGGCCCAGACUCCUACGGGAGGCAGCAGUGGGUAAUAGUGGACAAUGGGCGAAAGCCUGAUCCAGCAAUGCCGCGUGAGUGAUGAAGUCCUUAGGGUUGUAAAGCGCUUGUACCCGGGAUGAUAAUGACAGUACCGGGAGAAUAAGCACCGGCUAACUCCGUG
Molecule: ribosomal RNA, 433 nt
Filed under: uncultured bacterium
Lineage: Bacteria
Description: partial 16S ribosomal RNA
Rfam family: Bacterial small subunit ribosomal RNA
Source: RNAcentral